UUCCUAUGAUGACUUGUCAUGCUAAUACAGAGGGCCCGCUGUGACGCUGGAUGUGCUGGUGACACCUGGGCCGCCAUGAGUUGACACUCUCUAACUGAGGAAC
Small nucleolar RNA from Pecten maximus, 103 nucleotides. NCBI's taxonomy places the organism in Eukaryota, Metazoa, Mollusca, Bivalvia, Pectinida, Pectinidae. The record is from RefSeq and is a predicted model, not a curated record.